AAGGAGCAUAAGCUAUUAUGUUUGUGUUCGAUUAUAAGACUGAAGUUUUCAUAAUGAUUUUUUUACACUUAAUUUUUUAUUAUAUGCAUAUGACAGCUGCAUUUCUGAACUUACACCGUGCUUAGCCUGUUAAGCACUAACAGUGCGUUACAAUUGAUCAACUAUAUUUGGUUGAAUAAUGAUUAAUACUAAACACUAAUAAUUAAUUACAACACUGCGCUAUAUUUCCAAAAAUUUUUUUUUUUCUUGAAAUCUAGAAAAAUUUAUAUUUUUUUUACCCCCA
RNAcentral lists this long non-coding RNA (283 nucleotides) under Mytilus galloprovincialis (Mediterranean mussel). Lineage: Eukaryota; Metazoa; Mollusca; Bivalvia; Mytilida; Mytilidae. The record is from RNAcentral.